GGCAUUGAUUCUAGAUUCAGGUUCAGGACGUUUUUUAAGUUUAACUACAUGCAAGACUUCAUUUGAAAACCAAAGUAUGAUACUUAAAUUGCGCAUUGUUCUACUCCUAAUUGUGGUAAUCAGCCUGAGUGAAUGCAAGAAGGACGGCAGCCAUGGAUCACUGAUGUCAGAGAGUAAUAAAAAUAAACCCAAACCGAAUAAAUUUGGUUCAAGUGACGAGAUUGACCAAAUCGAUCCGCCCGAACCAUUCGAAGGACCCCAAGCAACCGAAGCACCGGAGCCAACCGAGACGCCUGAUACAGGAGACGAUGCACCGAUCGCAGUACAAUUGCCUGCAGAAAUAGAUGGCCCCGUAGGCGGCGAAUAACGAAGUGAAAUUAUCGCCGGCCGCGUGGUGGAAAUGUAUAUAAAUAAUUAGAAAACAUCUCCUAGAGUUGAAAGACAACGAUAUGUAUGUAGGUUUUAGAAGGGACGAUAUUCAAAUAAUAUCUCUCAUAAGCAUGUACCAGGAAAUGUCAUUUAUAAUAAAUACAAUAUAUUUGA
Long non-coding RNA from Saccoglossus kowalevskii, 543 nucleotides. The record is from RefSeq and is a predicted model, not a curated record. Lineage: Eukaryota; Metazoa; Hemichordata; Enteropneusta; Harrimaniidae.